This 496-nucleotide ribosomal RNA is filed under the name uncultured bacterium. Its description in RNAcentral is "bacterial SSU rRNA". It matches the Rfam family "Bacterial small subunit ribosomal RNA", at positions 15 to 507 of the family's 1533-position model. The record is from RNAcentral.
GAUCAUGGCUCAGAUUAAACGCUGGCGGCAUGCCUUACACAUGCAAGUCGAACGGCAGCACGGGGGCAACCCUGGUGGCGAGUGGCGAACGGGUGAGUAAAGCAUCGGAACGUGCCCUGGAGUGGGGGAUAACGUAGCGAAAGUUACGCUAAUACCGCAUAUUCUGUGAGCAGGAAAGCAGGGGAUCGCAAGACCUUGCGCUCUGGGAGCGGCCGAUGUCGGAUUAGCUAGUUGGUGGGUAAAGGCCUACCAAGGCGACGAUCCGUAGCGGGUCUGAGAGGAUGAUCCGCCACACUGGGACUGAGACACGGCCCAGACUCCUACGGGAGGCAGCAGUGGGGAAUUUUGGACAAUGGGCGAAAGCCUGAUCCAGCCAUGCCGCGUGAGUGAAGAAGGCCUUCGGGUUGUAAAGCUCUUUCGGUGGGGAAGAAAUUGCAUGGGUUAAUACCCUGUGUAGAUGACGGUACCUGGAGAAGAAGCACCGGCUAACUACGUG